Molecule: long non-coding RNA, 745 nt
Organism: Lolium perenne
Lineage: Eukaryota; Viridiplantae; Streptophyta; Magnoliopsida; Poales; Poaceae
Source: RefSeq, a predicted model, not a curated record
UUUCUUCAUCGUUCGUAAAGAAAAAUACAUGAUUUUCCGAGAGGCAUCCUGCAGAGAGAGUAUUCACGUCCUAUAUAUAUAAGUAGGCAAGUGUCGCCAAGUUCUUCCAAGUUCCAACGCGAGCCGUGAGCAACUGACUAGUGCGAAACCGCGAACACAGAACAGGCGAGAUCGUCACUGCUAGCUAUGGGCAACAAGCCACCGCAACCGCCACCUGCAGAGCCAACGGCGCCACCAGCAGAGCCAGCGGCACCGCAUACAGAGCUGGCGGCGCCACCUGCAGAUCCAGCGCCACCACAAAAAACGCCGCCACCGCCACAACCACAACCUCAGCAACCAACGCAGCACCAGCAACUGCGGCAGAAAUCUAAAGAUGAUAUUUAUGUUGAUGAAAAAACAGGGGGCCUGAUUUUCAAAAUGGCAAGACCCGCAAACUAAAAGCCGCUCUAAAGGUGGGUGUCGCAUGACUCUGAAGAAACAAAUAUGUGAACACUUAAAUAUUUAUCCUGAGUAUAUGUCAUUCGUGUUGUGAUCAGUUAAAAUUAAAUAUUUAUCAGGAGUAUAUGUCAUUCGUGUAGUGGUGAAUUGAACCUACUACCUUCGUUGUAAUGAAUAAGGCAUAUUUAUUAGAAUGAAAGUAAUAUAGUAGGUUGUAUCUUUCCAUUCCUCUAUUCUAUUUGUACACGUACAUUAUAUUAAACUAGUCGAAUGUCCGUGCGUUGCUACGGCCUAUUUUCUAUUGUCA